This 74-nucleotide transfer RNA is filed under the name Streptomyces hygroscopicus subsp. jinggangensis TL01. RNAcentral describes it as "tRNA-Pro". Lineage: Bacteria; Bacillati; Actinomycetota; Actinomycetes; Kitasatosporales; Streptomycetaceae. The record is from RNAcentral.
CCGUUGCGGUCGUCAUGCCGAUGAUCGUGCAACCUCAAUCAAACUUGAGGUCAACCGGGAAAGGGGCGCGCGAC